This 465-nucleotide ribosomal RNA is filed under the name Vreelandella stevensii. RNAcentral's name for it is "partial 16S ribosomal RNA". It matches the Rfam family "Bacterial small subunit ribosomal RNA", at positions 338 to 795 of the family's 1533-position model. The record is from RNAcentral. Lineage: Bacteria; Pseudomonadati; Pseudomonadota; Gammaproteobacteria; Oceanospirillales; Halomonadaceae.
CCUACGGGGGGCUGCAGUGGGGAAUAUUGGACAAUGGGGGGAACCCUGAUCCAGCCAUACCGCGUGUGUGAAGAAGGCCCUCGGGUUGUAAAGCACUUUCAGUGAGGAAGAACGCCUGGUGGUUAAUACCCAUCAGGAAAGACAUCACUCACAGAAGAAGCACCGGCUAACUCCGUGCCAGCAGCCGCGGUAAUACGGAGGGUGCGAGCGUUAAUCGGAAUUACUGGGCGUAAAGCGCGCGUAGGUGGCUUGAUAAGCCGGUUGUGAAAGCCCCGGGCUCAACCUGGGAACGGCAUCCGGAACUGUCAAGCUAGAGUGCAGGAGAGGAAGGUAGAAUUCCCGGUGUAGCGGUGAAAUGCGUAGAGAUCGGGAGGAAUACCAGUGGCGAAGGCGGCCUUCUGGACUGACACUGACACUGAGGUGCGAAAGCGUGGGUAGAAAACAGGAUUAGAUACCCUUGUAGUC